UGAAGGCUCUCAUUUCAAUCAUCCCACUCACCAAUUACCUUUAUUUAUUUUCUUCUGUACGUCUCUAUUUGUGUAGUGUAAUGUUACAUUUUCUUCAUUUGUAACGAUGGAAAGACAUUCUUCCAAUUGUUGGAUAGAUUGGUGAGCGGUAGAAAGUCCCGAUAAAUGCUUUAUUGUAGUAGGAAUACUUUCUUAUGAGCGAUAAAAAUAGUGAGAUAGUUGCUUCAGGAUUGGGAAACACUUGAGAUGCUAUUUUUGGAUCGGCUCGAAUCGCUUUGUAGCUACCUUGUUUUAGUGAAGAAGUGCUCGUAGCUGUCGUUGCUGUCG
This 327-nucleotide long non-coding RNA is filed under the name Linum usitatissimum (flax). RNAcentral's name for it is "long non-coding RNA (LUSI_LNC007411)". Lineage: Eukaryota; Viridiplantae; Streptophyta; Magnoliopsida; Malpighiales; Linaceae. The record is from RNAcentral.